AAAUAGAACUUUGCAGAGAGAGUUAAGAGGGCGUGAACCGUUAAUUGGCAAACGAAUCGGAGCCACGAAGUCGUUUCGUUGUAGUUGGGUCCAGUUCAGCGUAUGAGGACCCCCUCAUGCGUGUACUCUGGGUCUGGCCACUCUGUAAGCGUACACUGCAACCAGUUAGACGAUUGGCGAUGGGCCCAGUUGUGGAGGCAAGCUUCGGUUUGUCUUUAUAACGAUCGGCUUGUCUGUUGGAGUUAGUAGUAGUGAGGCGGGAUUUAUUCUGUCUUGCUGCUGGGCUUCAGCAGGUGAACUAUCACCAAAAACUGACUGGCAAAAUGAAAAUCGCCUCACGGCGUUUCCAUAGAACGCGGCGCUUGCAUUGGUGUUUACACAACUGACCGUGGGGUUUAAGCUCAGCAUUCUUGAAUUUAGACUUGCUGGCUACCAGUGGGGCAACUCCUGGUGCCAGUAUAGCUUCUAUCUAAUCGGGUGUUGACUUGAUUCUACGUCGUUCAGGUGUGCUACGAUAGAGCGCCAAUGUAAUGUAGCUCGCAAUCUUAUUGGCAGUGAGUAGGUCGGCUUUCCGAACGACCCGUCUUGAAACACGGACCAAGGAGUCUAAUUAGGCAUCAGUCGAUCGGUCUUGAUAGGCCAGACAGUGGAAUUCGUUCCAUAGAUUGAAGGCGUAGAGAAAUCAAAUCAUGUGAUCGCUUGGGCAAUACCAGCCCUUGCGCGCAACAUGUGCCUGUUCGUAUAGCAAUGUUAGCAAUAACUUGCUGGGCGGAGCAAAGAGAUGCCUGAUUGGUACCCGAAAGAUGGUGAACUAUGCUUGGGCAAAUUGAAGCCAGAGGAAACUCUGGUGGAGGAUUGUAGCGAUUCUGACGUGCAAAUCGAUCGUCAGACCUGAGUAUAGGGGCGAAAGACUAAUCGAACCAUC
RNAcentral lists this ribosomal RNA (925 nucleotides) under Epitrimerus spiraeae. RNAcentral describes it as "partial 28S ribosomal RNA". It matches the Rfam family "Eukaryotic large subunit ribosomal RNA", at positions 366 to 944 of the family's 3401-position model. The record is from RNAcentral. Lineage: Eukaryota; Metazoa; Arthropoda; Arachnida; Trombidiformes; Eriophyidae.